UGCUUUGGCUUUGGCUUAAUGGCACCAUCUGGUGGACCACAACUAGAAUUGCUUUGGCUUGGGGGAAAUGGCACCAUCUGGUGGACCACAACUAGAAUUGCUUUGGCUUGGGGGAAAUGGCACCAUCUGGUGGACCACAACUAGAAUUGCUUUGGCUUGGGGGAAAUGGCACCAUCUGGUGGACCACAACUAGAAUUGCUUUGGCUUGGGGGAAAUGGCACCAUCUGGUGGACCACAACUAGAAUUGCUUUGGCUUGGGGGAAAUGGCACCAUCUCGUGGACCACAACUAGAAUUGCUUUGGCCUGCCACACUUUCAGCACAAAUGCAGAAGCUUUCCUGACUUGGGGAAAAUUGACAACUGUAGUGAACGGGUUUCAGUGAAACGGCAGAUAAGUUUUUGGAGAGAUACAGUUGGAGAAAGUAGUAGUGGAGACAGCUGCAGCAUUAAUGAAGACUUUCUGUGUAUAGAGGCCAAGUGAAGCUGAAGCGGUUCCUGGUGGCUGCACAACAUAACGUGUCAGCCUGUUUUCAGUUGUGCAAAAUGUUUAUAUAUGAUAUUUUUGUCUUUAUUUGUCCUUUAAAAAAAAAAAAGAGCAAUCUGGAGCAACAUGUUAAAAUCACUCAUCCUUGGAUUCGAACCCCGGUCUCCCGGGUGACUGACGGCCACUCUACCAACUGAGCUAUGCCGCUACUCAUGUUCACCUAUGCCCAGAUAGAGCUUUUAAAUUACAUCAUCUGGCUCGCGAUCAAAAAAAAGAAAAGAAAGCACGAAAUAUGCUUUAAAAACAACGAAAAACGUUGGUCUGAGUCUGAGAAUUGUAUGAGCGCUUGUGGAAUUCUCUUCAUUUGUUCUGUCUGCAGUGAAAGCACCUUUGAGGGGGUCCUUCAAAUGAAGGAGACAUUUUGUGAAAUACAUCAGCUGUCAUAAAAGUCAUUUCCUGUGGAAUUCAGGUCUGAAAUUUUGUGUGCCCGUUCAGAACAGUCCACUGAAGCACCGUAUCAAUUUUCAAAGCUCUAGCACCGUGGGAAGCCUCUUUUUUAGCACUGAGGCCUACUCUGAGUUAUGAAGCCUGAGGCCUUCAAAAGUGUGAAAAAUCCUUCCAGCCGGGUCAUUUUUGGGUCUAGAGACACCAAAUCGCACACGCGGCGAGUACACCGCCCCGUGAUCUUCCCUAUUUAUUUUCAGAAAGCUGGCUCGAAAGGAGACCGGGCGGCGGCGCGUUUCUCCCUGCAGAGUUCACCCUUUCAUGUUUCCAAACGGCCUAAAAAGGUCCAAAUCUCACACGUUCCUUCACCGAUUUGGACCAAACUUCACAGGACAGAUGUAGAGGCUACCGUGAAGGCUCACGCCGAUUUUCAGACCUCCAGGGGCCACGGAGAAGGAAUGAGGGGCAAAAAGACACGUUUUGUCAUAGUUGUCCCUCUUUUGCUCUCAUUUGUCUUGUGUGACCCCAGAGAGCUGAAACCUGGGAUCUGGCACCUCUGAAAAAUGUAAAAUCAAAAUCCAGUGGAAGUUUUUUGAUAGCACCUCCCAAACAGGAAGUACACCGGGAAGGAGCUAGAGACUCGUGCUUCGGACCGACGGUUCACCGAGGCGACCUGAACCUCCCCUGAAAGUUUCAGCUCGUUUGAUGCAAAAAUGACCGAUUUACGGGGCUUCUUUGUCUAAAAAUGACAAACUUUGACCCUGCGCCACGGGUCACAGGAAGGUCACAGAGACACCGAUCCACCGCAGUUCAGCUCCAAAUAUAGGCUAGUAUAACAUACUGCAAGAUCAGCCCCGGGUUCCCGGUGGAAAAAUCUGACCCGGUGUCCCUGUGGCUGAAAAUCAGGUCCUGUCACGCUCUUACACCCCGAGACCCUUUUGCCGGUGGAACUCGAGUGUCAUUUUUUGUCCGAAUGGGAUGAAAUUUUUACCACGAGUACUAGGGCCCCCAGUGAGCGUGCAUGUAGAAUAUCAGCCUCCUGGCUCAACAGGGGGCCAGGCGGUAGCAUGUUGAAGUUUGGAAGUGGGCCCUUUAAAGCCCGACAUGUUUAAUUGGCCCGUAUCUCGGCUCCCUGAGGUCACACGAGCAUGAUUCACACAUCCACGCAUUCCUCUCGUCCAGACGCGUCCGUAGACAUGUGAACCAUCCUCCUGUGACCUUCCUGUCCAAAGUUAUGCAGACAUAAAGACCAGAAAUCAGACUCCAACACCUUUUUGAGCAAAUGAAAGGUUUUUUAUUCACUUCAGCAACUUCUCAGUGGAAAGUGCCGUCGGACCCGAUGCAGGCAGGAAGAUAGAGCUCCAAGAGACACACAGAAAAAAUUUCAGGUCUCUACCUGCCAGCAUUCCAGAGUUAUGAACUUAAAUUACAGCUGCUGUCAUUGCACUUACAGUAUGGCACACACACACACAUUUUAAGUCCAUAACACACGCUUUGGGGAAAAUAGUGCAAAAUAGAGGAUGACAAGUAAAAUGACUUGACUUUGCACAUGACUGUUAUUAUUAUAAAAUUUAAAAAAAAAAAAAAAUUCUGUCAAAAGCAAGAUUCGAUCCGGUGUCCACCACAACACCAACGCAGCGCCUUAGACCGCUCGGCCAUCCCAGCGGAUGGUAAAUGACUGUAAGCGGUGUGUAUUUAAGGAGACGCAAUCUACAGGGACAGGAAACAGCGGUGUCGCUCAAGCAGCUGGACACCAAAGAAGUGCUUUUAAUAGAAACGGGUGUACACUGUAUUCACGGAGACAGCUUCAGCACAACACGGGCACGUUUGCACUCGGCUGUGACGCUGUUUAAUCCCAGAAACGUCCGUUAGUCUACCGUGUGGUGCACACUCCGGACCAGUAGGCGGCGGUAAUGCACCGGAUGCCAACCGCCGUGAAAGGAGAAGAAGAAGAAUUUUGAACGACGCAGCCGUUUGAACCAAGCAGCCGGAGCCGUUUGAACAACGGAGCGGGCACAGAGAUGGAGAGACGGCCUCAUGGUGGACUUCAGACCGUUUCUUCCCAAAAAGAGCCAGCAUCGGAGCCUGGAGCUGACUGUUUCCUCUCCACUCUUCUGCUGGACGCCGUACAGAUGCGUGCAACCUGCCUGGCGCCACCUACAGAGCCAGGACCUGACUUCCUCACCUUCACUGCUCCACUCUUCAUGCUGCCUCAGGAAGAACCUGCCUGGCUCUUCCUGCUGGACGCCGGACGCCGGAGAGAUGCGUGGAACCGGAGAGAUGCGUGGAACCUCCCUGUAGCCACCUACAGAGCCUGGAGCUGACUUUUCCUCAUCUUCUGCUCUCCACUCUUCCUGCCGGACGCCGUACUGAUGCGUGGAACGUGCCUGGCGCCGCCCACAGAGCCCGGAGCUGACUUUUCCUCGUCUUCUUCUCUCCACUCCUCCUGCCGGACGCCGUACUGAUGCGUGGAACGUGCCUGGCGCCGCCCACAGAGCCCGGAGCUGACUUUUCAUCGUCUUCAUCUCUCCACUCUUCCUGCAGGACGUCGUACUGAUGCGUGGCACCUGCCUGGAGCCGCCAAGAGAGCCUGGAGCUGACUUUCUCCUCAUCUUCAUCUGCGUGGAACCUCCCAGGAGCCCGAAAAGUGGAGAAAACGACCAACAGGAAGUGUGGGUCUCCAAAACCGGAAGUGACGUCAUCGCACCGUUGGUAUGAGAGGUGGCCCUGGUGGUGGUGAUGGAGCACAGCAGUUUUAAUAGAGAUCAGAGCUGUUUUGACCGAAUUUCGCAAUAUCUUGUCAGGGUUGCGCAAUUUCGGUCGGUGUUGCGCAAUAGAAAACCUAAAUGACCCGGCGGGUCAAGACACAAAUCAUCUAUAUACCUAACCCUAACCCUAACCCAAAUCGGAUGCCCUAACCCUAACCAGGAGACCCUAACCCAAAUUUGGAAGUG
Molecule: long non-coding RNA, 3881 nt
Organism: Acanthochromis polyacanthus (spiny chromis)
Lineage: Eukaryota; Metazoa; Chordata; Actinopteri; Pomacentridae
Exons: 7
Source: RefSeq, a predicted model, not a curated record